Camellia sinensis is the source of this 1817-nucleotide long non-coding RNA. RefSeq lists it as uncharacterized. Lineage: Eukaryota; Viridiplantae; Streptophyta; Magnoliopsida; Ericales; Theaceae. The record is from RefSeq and is a predicted model, not a curated record.
UUUGGAGGCUUCAUAUGGUGAUGAGUUUUUAAAAUCUGCGCACAAUUUUUAUCAUGUUUACUCGACAAUCAUGGCAUCUAAAAACUAUUGAGUAUUAAUGACUUUUAAUAUAAAUGGCUUCUUUUGGGGGUUGUUUGGAAGUUCUGGAAAUGAAAUUGUUUUAUUGUCCUGUACAUGGCAUGUUUAGAUGCAGCUUUCAUCAUGAUUGGAGCCAGCCAGCAAAGCUAAUUACUAAAGUUGUGCCCUAGAUAUGUAUUAAAAAUAACUUCGGCUUUCAUAUUGGUUCAAUAAGCAUUUGAGUAUUUGCUGGUAUUUUCUGCAAUGGCCAUUCAAGAUGAUGGAUUUUUAAAGUUAUAAUAAAUGAGAUAUCAAACCUGGAUGAGGAAAUAAGAUUUUGCUUUGAUGUCCUAACAUGGUCUUAGUUGAUAAGUUAGUUUAACAUGUCACCAGGCUUAUAAAAAAAGAAAAGAAAAAGAAAAUAGAGUUAAAAUGUCAGUAUGAAGUUGCAGGUUAACUUGCAAAAACUACAUUAGAGUAUACUAAGAAGUUAGUUAUUCACUCAAAUUGAACAUAUGCUAGGGAUUACCAAAUUAAAGCACAGUAUUGAACUGACCAUGCAGGUGUAUGCAGUAUUCAUAUCCUCUCUUUGAAUAAGUUGGUACAUGUUUAUAGUGUAAGAAGGUUGCCCUCAUCUGUUUUGUGAGUUAUGUGGCUUGGAUUAUGUGAAGCUUCUAUCAUUCUGAUUUUAAGCAUGCAAAUCGUUCACAUGGAAGUUCUUGGGCAAGUAUUUGUGGUUUUGGAUUUCAAUGGUUUUCUGCUGAUUGUUACAAUUAUAUCAUAAUGCUUGCCAUUUUUUGUGGAGGUUGGUGUUUUUAUCAGUAAGAUUCUGGGUAGUUGAGAAUAUCCUUAUGCACGAUCUCUUUUAUGUAUAUUUUCUCAUGCUGUUGUAUUGGACCUUUUGGAGCUUCUUAUGUUAUCUAUUGAACUGAUGAGUAAGUGUGCUGACACCUUAAAUAUGAAUGGAAGGACAAAAGAUUAGUUAUUAAUUCUGCCACCCAGCUCUCUUUUAUGUAUUUAUGAGGUGAAAAAUUGUGGGUUUUAAUAGCUCCAGAAUUUUUAUGACAUUUGUCUGCAAAUGUCCUGCAGUAUCAAAGCAAGCAGGUUGAGGAGGUUACCUGCACAAACUGGAAUAUAUAGAAUUUCCAAUUAUGUUAACGGUUCUUCAGAAAUUGAUUUUGUUCCUUCAAGCUCAGCAGAGUUCCAUUCAUGACUGCGUGCCCUUGUUAUUGGAGAAUUGUUUCAGCAUGCAUUGUAAAAUUUGAUAGUCCUGAUGUUUGUGGCUCGAUUGUACCUCGGUUUGGUUUUGUAAUUGAAUAGAAGGGAACAGAAUCUGCCAGUUAAAUAUUGUUCAGAAAAAGUUGUGUAUUGAGGGGAGACAAAGUUGCUUUUGCAGACGAUACUACAUCUUUUUAAAGCAAUAAUAUGACUUAUGUUUGGUGGUAGGUGAAAUAUCAUAGCUUUCGUCCUUUGUAAAUUGACUUGGUUACUGUAUCAAUCUCUCUUAGUUGUGAUUCAUUACAAAUUUGUAGUGGUUUUAUGGUUUGUAGUUAUCAUAGAAGAGUGAGGUUUGUAUUUUCCAUCAUUUCAUGCAGUUCUAAUAAUAACUGAAGUAGUGGAAAUUGCCCUGGGUGCAUUUGGAAUGUGUUCAUAUACAAUUACAGAACAACAUAGACUACUAUGUUGAAUUGUUUAGAUUGUAGCAUUAAAAAAGCCAGUGUACUUGCAAAAUGUAAUAAAAUUGUUUGUGAUCUUUGACA